Non-coding RNA from Ailuropoda melanoleuca (giant panda), 715 nucleotides. Lineage: Eukaryota; Metazoa; Chordata; Mammalia; Carnivora; Ursidae. The record is from the annotation of a RefSeq genome assembly.
AGGGGCUUGGUGUAGCAGGGGUGGUGAAAAGAUCUCUUUUUCCCUAGUUGGUAGAAUAGAUUCUAUGAUUCUUAAAGCAGAAGAAUAUGAAAUGUCUGAGCUACACUCAUUUUUUUAGGGCUUAAAAUCUGAAUCCUCAGUGCACCAGAGGAGGAAAGAACGAUGAAGUCAAGAGUUUUACUAGUGAUCCUGUGGCUUCAGUUAACCUGGAUGAAGAGUCAACAGAAGGGAGUGGAGCAGAGUCUUGGAUCUCUGAGCGUUCUGGAGGGAGCCACUGCCUCUCUCAACUGCAAUUAUAGUGACAGUGCAUCCCAGUACUUCAUGUGGUACAGACAGUACUCCGGGAAGGGCCCCGAACUGCUGGUGUACCUGUACUCCAAAGGUGACAAAAAGGAAGGAAGAUUUUUGGCGCAGGUCGAUACAGCAAAACAAUAUGUCUCCCUGCUCAUCAGCGACUCCCAGGCCAGCGAUUCAGCCACCUACUUCUGUGCAGUGAGCACACAGUGCUCCCCUCACACCUGCUGACUGUACCCAAACCCUUUGGGGCCCCAGCAAUGCCUGAUAUAGAGCCUAGGCUGCAGGGUAGAAAAUUUCUGUUUGCUGUCUAGACGCACAUGGGAAUUAAGGGCAUUAGCCAUAGCCCUAGAAUGCCUUAUACCCCAGGCAGAACAUGGGAGCUCAGAAUGACUUCAUGUUUCCUGAGAAGGAUCUCCAA